Molecule: small RNA, 114 nt
Filed under: Epilithonimonas mollis
Lineage: Bacteria; Pseudomonadati; Bacteroidota; Flavobacteriia; Flavobacteriales; Weeksellaceae
Description: Chryseobacterium molle Flavo-1 RNA
Rfam family: Flavo-1 RNA
Source: RNAcentral
UUUUUGCACCAUGCGUGAGGGAUGGGAGUGGAAAUCCUUUUUGUCUGUGUUGAAGUUUCUUUUGCAGACUAAGGGCGAAUGACAAAAAGAUUGCAACAGACAGCCCGACCCGAG